Non-coding RNA from Rattus norvegicus (Norway rat), 422 nucleotides. Lineage: Eukaryota; Metazoa; Chordata; Mammalia; Rodentia; Muridae. The record is from RefSeq and is a predicted model, not a curated record.
AGCUCACCUGAGAGUCCCGAAACUCCACCACCACGUUCUCGCUGCUCCAGCGCGCUGCCAUCUCACAAGCCCGACCGUGGGGUGCCAGUCGGCGACCCUCCACCCCGACCCCAAGACCCGAGACUCCCUAGGGACCAGACCUGCCUCCAAAAACAGGAACGCCCCUUCAUUUCGUCAUCAGUACGAGUCACCCGGGCACCCCACUGCUGACACGCCCCCUGCCGUGAGCUCUGCCGGGAAUUGUAGUCAAAUGUCAGGUCAGCGUCAGUUACCCAGUAAGAGCCUGAGUUUAGAGAGCAGACGCCGCCGGCGGUCCUGUCUUGCUGGUAGUUGGAUGGUAUCCCCCGUAUUCUACUACAUACAGCGUAUAAACAGGACCGACAUCCGUACCAAAGUAAAAUAACUUCUUCUGAUACCUCUCA